Molecule: long non-coding RNA, 1820 nt
Filed under: Nicotiana benthamiana
Lineage: Eukaryota; Viridiplantae; Streptophyta; Magnoliopsida; Solanales; Solanaceae
Description: long non-coding RNA (NBEN_LNC017150)
Source: RNAcentral
GCUUGUCUCCUCAUGUUACUGAAAGCAGCAUUGGUUAUUACAAAGUCAAGCAUGAUGGUAUGUAUAAGGUAGCUCAUUCUUUGCCUCUAAAAAGAAAAUUAGGUAACUGAUUGCAAAAUGCCUGAUGCCUCUGUGUGGAGGGGGCACUUCAGAUGGUUGUGUCCCAUCUUUUCAUGUCAAUGGAAGUAUGAUCAUGACUUAUUCUCACAUGUCAUUUUCUUUCUAAUAUCAGUAUGUAAUGUGUCAUUAAAAGUCUUUUGUUCUCGAUAAAGAUCUAUUUGCAUGACUGCUUAUUUGGUUGAUACCAGUUUGACUAUAAGCUCUAGCCUGACUUUGUUAUUGAUUUUACAAAGUCAUACAUGACUGAACAUAUGAGAUAUCUCAUUCUUUAUGUAUAAAAAAAAAGUUAGGUAACUCUUUGUCAAAUGUCCGACGCCUCUGUGCAGGAGGAGGCACUUUAGAUUGCUGUACCCUCUUUUCAUGUCAAUGGUAUACGAUCCUGACUUGUUCUCACAUCAUUUUCUUUGUAAUAACAUCAUGUAAACAACAACAACAACCCAGUAUAAUCCCACUUAGUGGGGUCUGGGAGGGUAGUAUCUACGGACCUUACCCCUACCCUGGGGUAGAGAAGCUGUUUCCAGAUAGACCCCCGACAUCCUUCCCUCCAAGAACUUCCCACCUUGCUCUUGGGAGNNNNNNNNNNNNNNNNNNNNNNNNNNNNNNNNNNNNNNNNNNNNNNNNNNNNNNNNNNNNNNNNNNCAAGAACUUCCCACCUUGCUCUUGGGAGACUCGAACUCACAACCUCUCGGUUGGAAGUGAGGGUUGCUUACCAUCAGAGCAACCCCUCUUGUCUAAUAACAUCAUGUAAAGUGUCAUUAAAAAUCUUUCAUUCUUGAUUAAAGAUCUAUUUGCAUGGCUUUGCUUAUUUGAUUGAUGCCAGUGUGACUGUAAGCUCUGGCCUGACUUUGCAUCGGCUUUUACGAAGUCAUACAUGACUGAAUAUAUAAGAUAAAUCAUUCUUUUUGUAUGAAAAAGAAAACUAGAUAAUUCAUUGUGAAAUGUUCGACGCCUCUGUGCAGGAGGAGGCACUUUAGAUGGUUGUAUCCUCUCUUUCAGGUCAAUGAAAGUAUGUCCAUGACUUGUUCUGACAUGUCAAUUUCUUUCUAAUAUAAUCAUGUAAAGUUUCACUAAAAGUCUAUCAUUCUCGAUAAACAUCUAUUUGCAUGACUAUGCUAGUAGGAGGUAGUAGCUACUUGGUGGAAUAGUCGAGAUGUGCACAAGCUAACACAGACACCACGUUAUGAAAAAAUAUUUAUCUAUUUGUAUGACUUCCCUUAUUUGCUUGAUGCCAAUGGGAUUAUAUGCUCUUGCCUGCCUGCAGAAUGGAAGAAGUCAAAGCAAGUUGACAGGGCAUAUUGUGGAAGUUGCAGACAUGUAAGCCACAACCAGAUGGAAGUCCUCCUUUACUGAAGUUUGUAUGAAAUUGUUGGAACAUACAUCCAAAUGCUCACUGUUGCUGUAAAUGCAGAGUAGAUAAACCUAUAAAAUGCAAAAUGAUUCCCCAUAAUGACUUGGUGUAUCACUCUUUUAUCAAUGUAUAUAAUACAUUGUUAUUCUGGUCAGCGUUGACAUUCUAUUCCAAGGAUGCUGUUAUUUGUUAUAGAAGUGGAAUAUAGUUUAAUUCCCCGUAAUGACUUGGUGUGUCACUCUUUUAUCAGUGUAUAUAAUACAUUGUUAUUCUGGUCAGCAUUGACAUUCUAUUCAAAGGAUGCUGUUAUUUGUUAUAAAAGUGGAAUAUAGUUUUCUCAUUUCAAAUGUUC